RNAcentral lists this long non-coding RNA (257 nucleotides) under Amphimedon queenslandica. RNAcentral describes it as "uncharacterized LOC109589879". The record is from RNAcentral. Lineage: Eukaryota; Metazoa; Porifera; Demospongiae; Haplosclerida; Niphatidae.
GGCUUCACCUAUUUUCAUGGAAUAAGGACUGAUAUGGAGCUAGGAAGCCAUGAAUCCCCCUUGACUAAUGCUGGGAACAAGGCCGCUCUACUCCCAUCUGUCUUCUAAGUCCACUUUAACUCUCUCAUUUUUAUUUGUGAUUUUAUUUGCUGUCAUUGUUAUCUUAAUUCUCAUUUUCCUUGAUUGUUGAUUUAUUUUUAUUUAUUUAUAUUUAUUACUAUUAUUUUUACUGUUGAUCAUUAUUCAUUUCCACUUUU